This 262-nucleotide ribosomal RNA is filed under the name uncultured archaeon. RNAcentral describes it as "partial 16S ribosomal RNA". It matches the Rfam family "Archaeal small subunit ribosomal RNA", at positions 748 to 1008 of the family's 1478-position model. The record is from RNAcentral.
CAGCCGUAAACUAUGCGCGUUAGGUGUAUCGGUGACCACGAGUUACCGAGGUGCCGAAGAGAAAUCGUGAAACGCACCACCUGGGAAGUACGGUCGCAAGGCUGAAACUUAAAGGAAUUGGCGGGGGAGCACCACAACAGGUGGAGCCUGCGGUUUAAUUUGGAUUCAACGCCGGACAUCUCACCGGAUAAGACAGCUGAAUGAUUGUCAAUCUGAAGGUUUUACAUGACUAGCUGAGAGGUGGUGCAUGGCGUCAGUGACU